Molecule: small RNA, 209 nt
Filed under: Priestia veravalensis
Lineage: Bacteria; Bacillati; Bacillota; Bacilli; Caryophanales; Bacillaceae
Description: Bacillus sp. SGD-V-76 Bacillus sRNA ncr1575
Rfam family: Bacillus sRNA ncr1575
Source: Rfam by way of RNAcentral
UAAUAAAUACGAGAGGAAUGAUGGAUGAACAAUGGAUAACUAACCUAAUUUUUUACAUUUGAAAUUUCAUAAUUUCAAGUCUUAAAAACUUAGGAUUAGUCUGCCCAUUUUUCAACCACCCCUACAAGCGCUCUGCUUAUAGGCUUCUUUAUGCGGGACAAUAAUGCGGACUCGACUAAUCCUUCCAAUGAAAUUGGGAGGAUUUUUUU